This is a long non-coding RNA of Talpa occidentalis (Iberian mole), 881 nucleotides long. RefSeq lists it as uncharacterized. The transcript is spliced from 7 exons. Lineage: Eukaryota; Metazoa; Chordata; Mammalia; Eulipotyphla; Talpidae. The record is from RefSeq and is a predicted model, not a curated record.
ACCCUCGCCGGUGGCCGGAGAUCGAACUGGCGCUGAAGAGGCUGUCCGCAACCCAGCACUCAACUGCUGCGCCACCAGGGGAGGCCCAAUGCUUUGAUUUUAAUGUAUGAAAAUGCUCCUUAAACUCAGGCAAUGAGAUCUUCACUGCAUUCAAGCCCAACGAAGUCAAUAAUAACAGAUUCCAUGGGAUCCCUCUCAACUUUCAACUAUGUAUUUUGAGGUAUUCGCUGGAAAACAGAGGGGGACUCAACAAUGGAAACCAUGGAUGCCUUUGUGCAACACCUUUCUUAAUUAAAUGAUGGCGAGCCUCAGGAAGAUCAGAAGCAAGUGUCUUGGACUUAAAGAAUUCAAAAGAUUGCAUGGCCUGUCACAAAACGAACUUGCGCAACACCAUAAGUUUGAUGACAAUGAGUCUGAGUGUGGGUCCCCUUCACCCCUGUUUUGGGAUUUACUUGGCUUCUUGAAUCUGCAGAUUGGAUAGCUGCCAUCAUUCUAGCUUCCCGUUCACGAAUUUGUUUGUCUGCCAUUUCCAUUUUGUUGCAGGAGAAUGGAAGAAUGACACAUUGUUACUGGCAAGCGCGGAUAUGAAUCCAGGUUCCUCACCUGAUUUCUUGUUAUUGAUGGGCUUAUACUUUCUGGUUACCUGAGCCUUGAGAAAGUUCAAGAAGAGAAGCUUUCUGCAGAAUGAUACUGACCUACGUUGACACUCACAGGUCAUAUGAGCUAGUGAAGAGAUAGCCAUAUUCAGUGUGUCUCUCUGCUAUCAAAUGGUCGGCAAAGGUCAUAAAAUCUGAUUUAUUAGCAAUAUGCAGCUAAAAAGAAUAGGGCCAGGAUGGUCCUCUAUUCAUUAAAGAAAUCUAGCCAUUCAAGUCUGCAUUUUA